RNAcentral lists this ribosomal RNA (483 nucleotides) under uncultured bacterium. Its description in RNAcentral is "bacterial SSU rRNA". It matches the Rfam family "Bacterial small subunit ribosomal RNA", at positions 30 to 492 of the family's 1533-position model. The record is from RNAcentral.
AGUGAACGCUGGCGGCAGGCCUAACACAUGCAAGUCGAGCGGCAGCGCGUCCGACCACCCUCGGGUGGUCGGAUGGCGGCGAGCGGCGGACGGGUGAGGAAUGCAUCGGAAUCUGCCUCGUUGUGGGGGAUAACGUAGGGAAACUUACGCUAAUACCGCAUACGACCUACGGGUGAAAGUGGGGGACCUUCGGGCCUCACGCGAUGAGAUGAGCCGAUGCCGGAUUAGCUAGUUGGCGGGGUAAAGGCCCACCAAGGCGACGAUCGGUAGCUGGUCUGAGAGGAUGAUCAGCCACACUGGGACUGAGACACGGCCCAGACUCCUACGGGAGGCAGCAGUGGGGAAUAUUGGACAAUGGGCGCAAGCCUGAUCCAGCAAUGCCGCGUGUGUGAAGAAGGCCUGCGGGUUGUAAAGCACUUUUGUUCGGGAAGAAAUCAUGUCGGUUAAUACCCGAUGUGGAUGACGGUACCGAAAGAAUAAGCA